AUGCGAGAGGGAGAAGUAUAUAGACGCUACUACACACCCUAUCUCCACCCUAAGCGAGGCACCCUUGUCGGAGAUGCAGUCUACUUCACGGUUCGGCUGGGUAACGCAAUCAUCAAGUAUGACUUGGGCAAGAACAGCAUAUCCAUGAUUGACCCGCCGCCGCACACCAUGUACUACAUUGCCCUCAUGGCCAUGGAGGAGAAACAUUCACUUGGCUUUGCCUACAUUAUGGAUUCCAGCCUCGAUAUCUGGUCAAGGAAGGUGGAUAGGGAAGGACCUGCUGAAUGGGUACAAUACAGGGUCAUCGAACUGGAGAAAACGAUACCUGUUGCCAAACAAGAUGAGAAGCCAAUUGUUGUUGGGUCUGCAGAGGGUGUGGGUGUCAUCUUCGUAUGCACAGGUGCUGGCUUAUUUAUGAUCAAGCUCAGCUCUGGGCAGGUUAAGAAGGUUGAUGAGCCUGGGGUCUACUUUAGCGUCCUACCCUACUUGAGCUUCUACACUCCAGAUCAUGGCAGAAUGUUGUCAAUCGCUGGCGAGGACAAACUGAUCUCUUAA
This 555-nucleotide ribosomal RNA is filed under the name Triticum aestivum (bread wheat). Its description in RNAcentral is "partial small subunit ribosomal RNA". The record is from RNAcentral. Lineage: Eukaryota; Viridiplantae; Streptophyta; Magnoliopsida; Poales; Poaceae.